GACGAACGCUGGCGGCGUGCCUAAUACAUGCAAGUUGAGCGCUGAAGGUUGGUACUUGUACCGACUGGAUGAGCAGCGAACGGGUGAGUAACGCGUGGGGAAUCUGCCUUUGAGCGGGGGACAACAUUUGGAAACGAAUGCUAAUACCGCAUAAAAACUUUAAACACAAGUUUUAAGUUUGAAAGAUGCAAUUGCAUCACUCAAAGAUGAUCCCGCGUUGUAUUAGCUAGUUGGUGAGGUAAAGGCUCACCAAGGCGAUGAUACAUAGCCGACCUGAGAGGGUGAUCGGCCACAUUGGGACUGAGACACGGCCCAAACUCCUACGGGAGGCAGCAGUAGGGAAUCUUCGGCAAUGGACGAAAGUCUGACCGAGCAACGCCGCGUGAGUGAAGAAGGUUUUCGGAUCGUAAAACUCUGUUGGUAGAGAAGAACGUUGGUGAGAGUGGAAAGCUCAUCAAGGGACGGAAACUAACCAGAAAGGGACGGCUAACUACGU
RNAcentral lists this ribosomal RNA (496 nucleotides) under uncultured bacterium. RNAcentral's name for it is "partial 16S ribosomal RNA". It matches the Rfam family "Bacterial small subunit ribosomal RNA", at positions 28 to 506 of the family's 1533-position model. The record is from RNAcentral.